This 683-nucleotide ribosomal RNA is filed under the name Paraburkholderia sp. RNAcentral's name for it is "bacterial SSU rRNA". It matches the Rfam family "Bacterial small subunit ribosomal RNA", at positions 354 to 1028 of the family's 1533-position model. Lineage: Bacteria; Pseudomonadati; Pseudomonadota; Betaproteobacteria; Burkholderiales; Burkholderiaceae. The record is from RNAcentral.
GUGGGGAAUUUUGGACAAUGGGCGCAAGCCUGAUCCAGCAAUGCCGCGUGUGUGAAGAAGGCCUUCGGGUUGUAAAGCACUUUUGUCCGGAAAGAAAACUUCCUGGUUAAUACCCGGGGAGGAUGACGGUACCGGAAGAAUAAGCACCGGCUAACUACGUGCCAGCAGCCGCGGUAAUACGUAGGGUGCAAGCGUUAAUCGGAAUUACUGGGCGUAAAGCGUGCGCAGGCGGUUCGUUAAGACAGAUGUGAAAUCCCCGGGCUUAACCUGGGAACUGCAUUUGUGACUGGCGGACUCGAGUAUGGCAGAGGGGGGUAGAAUUCCACGUGUAGCAGUGAAAUGCGUAGAGAUGUGGAGGAAUACCGAUGGCGAAGGCAGCCCCCUGGGCCAAUACUGACGCUCAUGCACGAAAGCGUGGGGAGCAAACAGGAUUAGAUACCCUGGUAGUCCACGCCCUAAACGAUGUCAACUGGUUGUCGGGCCUUCAUUGGCUUGGUAACGUAGCUAACGCGUGAAGUUGACCGCCUGGGGAGUACGGUCGCAAGAUUAAAACUCAAAGGAAUUGACGGGGACCCGCACAAGCGGUGGAUGAUGUGGAUUAAUUCGAUGCAACGCGAAAAACCUUACCUACCCUUGACAUGUACGGAAUCCUGCUGAGAGGUGGGAGUGCCCGAAAGGGAGCC